This is a long non-coding RNA of Betta splendens (Siamese fighting fish), 3007 nucleotides long. RefSeq lists it as uncharacterized. The transcript has 3 exons. Lineage: Eukaryota; Metazoa; Chordata; Actinopteri; Anabantiformes; Osphronemidae. The record is from RefSeq and is a predicted model, not a curated record.
GAACAAUAUAUUUAGAAAUUGUGUGUGUGUGUGUGUGUGUGUGUGUGUGUGUGUGUGUGUGUGUGUGUGUGUGUGUGUGUGUGUGUGUGUGUGUGUGUGUGUGUGUGUGUGUGUGUGUGUAGAUUUUGCUUUCACCACUACUACCACUAAAGCAGUUCAUGAACCUUUUAUGAGGUACAGUCUAUAUUUAUAACCUUCUUCUUCUUCUGCUGUUUUAUAUUCCUGUAUAUUACCUUAAUAUUGAUGAUGUCUUCAUGCUUCUUCCCCGUGUAAACCUCUGCAGGAUGUUUGCGAGGACUGAAUUACGAGGCAGCAGUCCCAGUUGCCAGGCAACGGCCAAGGGGGCAGAUCAGCUGGGACUCCCGCAUCUAGCUGUGAUUGGCUGUGGGAACUCCAGUCUGCGUAUAUAGCGCUCCAAAUAUGGCAUCAAUCACACAGAAGGCACUCACCUCCUAAAUUGUAUCAAAUUACACGGCAGCAGGGCCCCAUCAAAGCCGCGUAUCUAAUACGUCCAGGCUCACAAGUGCCAUUUGUGAUCGUGCCCGUCUAGCAGAGAGGUUAAUGGAUCUGGCUGUGAGCACACACUGUCUCCCAGGCUCUCCAGAGAUCAAAGGCAGAGAGAGCUUUUAUCGAUCAGCUGAUGUCAGCUCAAGAGGUGCUGUAGGAGGGUUGCCACGGCGGCAGCGCGGGGAUGUUGGCGCUUGCGAAAGUCCAUCCUCCCACCUCCCAGAUGACUCGCAGAACGAGGAGCCGGUUCGGAGCUGCACGUUUUUUUGCUUUUUUUUUUACGAUCACGGCAUUCCAGAACGACAAGUGCGACUGGUAAGGCGCCGUUUUUGGGAGAACUGCCAAAGAUAAGACAAGCUCAUCGGUUUUUGGAGGUUGAGAGGACGCUGCUCUGAGGCAACACGCGGCGCCUUGCUGUGAAGGAGUGGGGUUCGAUUGUGCGCGUGAACCAUAAAUCAGGCCUCCAUCCAGCCAAAUCAUGCAAUUCUCCACAGUCCCACCCAGAUCACACUCAUUACACGCAGACACAUCUGUCUGAGCACUAGUAAAGCGGCCACAAGUUGGUUUUGUCACCCAGGGAAUAUUCAGACCAUGACACAGUCACACACAAAUCUGUGUUUACAUGCCCCACAUAUUCACAGCAGAGCACAACAACAGGUUGGAGACUUAGUAACUCAAAGCUCACGCUAUGCUGGAAAAUAUGGGGAGCCACAGAUGUGAGGAAGUGGAAGGCAAAGGAGCAUGUGUGCGAAAGUGAUCGCACGCGUCCUGUGAGGACAUUGCAUAAACGCGGGAGGAGAAAAUCUGGUUGGGUGAGUUAACUGCCAGAUCCGAGCAUCCUACAGGACAAAGAGCUUACCUCAUUGUUAACUGCAGGAAGAGCUGCUCGGGGCAGAAAUGCCACAGGCGCUGCAUGUUUAUUUUCAACCUUAGCGCAAAUACAGCUGCUGUUGUCGACGUCCCGCUAUCAUUUAGUUCUAACUGACUGCAGCAGCUUAGAGCCGAGACAAACUCCAGCUAAGUCUGACUUCACAGAGCAACUGCAUGAUGUGAAUCAUGUGUUUAAACAGUUUUUAGUACUUGUUCUAAAAAUGGCAAUAUUGAGACGAUGACAUAAUCGGUUUCUGUUUCCCGGACAAAGUCUCUGAACUCUGAUCCUAUUAUAACGCUAGUUAUUAAGGACCCUCUGUGGUUCAACACAACAGCAAAUGAAGGUCACAGGAAAUGCAUGAAACAAUUUGUUCUUAUCUUGUCCAAGACCUAAUAUCAGAUUUUUGCUUUUACUUCCUCAUACAGGACAAACUGCCCAACAGCCACAGCUGAUGUCAUUCCAAGGACUCAGCCUUUCACUGGGACUGAUUUCAACACACGUCCUCUGUUGUGUUGACCGAGCCGGUUCUGCAUAAAUAUUAGUUUCUUAAUCGAAUGUAGCAAAAGCGGUAGUGUGUGUAGCAUUUUCUCAACUGAGCCUCCUGAGACUGAAUGCAUAUAUAAAUUGACGCCAGAAAAAAAGUGGCCCCACAGCAGCAAAUGGGCCACAGAAGCUGAGCAGCGGCAGGUGAAAUUCUACCCGGUCAGGUCACAAAGGCAGUGAGAUGGAGACGGUUAGAGCUCAGGGUGUGUCUGUCUUGUCUGUCAGGCUGCUCUUAAACCAAAUGGUCCAGUUUGUCAAACAACCGAAGCCCAAACCUGAGUCACCCAGGCCUGCAGAGACUUGUUGGUUCGAGUUUUAGCUCAGUUUUAUGCAAAAAUGUCCUUAAACAUUCGAACUGAAUGAACGCCAGAUGCUCUGUGAGGAAAGGCAGGUGAAUGCAAGGCAUCUGAGUAGCACACACAACCCACAAAACCACAUAGCACAACAAAGGUUCCAGGCCCUGUGAGCGGCGACAACGUGAUCCAGCGGCUCUGCUGCAUACCUGCACGAUUAGCUGAACUGGAUCCAAGCAGCAGUUCACUCAAACCCCGGGGACUGUUCUAAAGAUACCAGUGGUGUGUGUGUGUGUGUGUGUGUGUGUGUGUGUGUGUGCCCACGUGUGUGUGUGUAACCUACUUCAGAGCACAUCAGGUGCCCAGCAUGCAGCUGCCACUGCAGAGGGGAGGAUCCACACUAUCACACACACAUAGUCUGUCUUCAAGGGCAAGUCUCAAGGACAAUGCUCGGUCUAACCUUCUGCAGAGCAGCAGCCACAGUGGCAGACAUGGACAGAAAACACUAUUAUUUUUUUUUAAUCUGUGUGUUUUUGAUUGUGUGCUAUGUUUUUUGCCGUGUCUACUGCAAGCAUGUGUUGGCUGAUGCUACUCCAUCACUCCAGACUUUUGAUCCAAGAUAUCGACCAUAAAGGAUGUUGUGUUGAAUAAAGACUUCAGGUCUGUAUGAAAACAUGGUAUAAAAAUUUAAUGUUGCUGUUAGCAUGCUUUAGAAAUCAAACCAAAAUUGUGAGAAAAAAGCGAUGAAAUCACAAAGUGACGUGUGAAUUUAAAGUACAGCAGUGCAAUUUGA